RNAcentral lists this ribosomal RNA (268 nucleotides) under Salmonella enterica subsp. enterica serovar Amager. RNAcentral describes it as "partial 23S ribosomal RNA". It matches the Rfam family "Bacterial large subunit ribosomal RNA", at positions 526 to 796 of the family's 2925-position model. The record is from RNAcentral. Lineage: Bacteria; Pseudomonadati; Pseudomonadota; Gammaproteobacteria; Enterobacterales; Enterobacteriaceae.
CCGGCGAGGGGAGUGAAAAAGAACCUGAAACCGUGUACGUACAAGCAGUGGGAGCACCCUUCGGGGUGUGACUGCGUACCUUUUGUAUAAUGGGUCAGCGACUUAUAUUCUGUAGCAAGGUUAACCGUAUAGGGGAGCCGGAGGGAAACCGAGUCUUAACCGGGCGUUAAGUUGCAGGGUAUAGACCCGAAACCCGGUGAUCUAGCCAUGGGCAGGUUGAAGGUUGGGUAACACUAACUGGAGGACCGAACCGACUAAUGUUGAAAAA